RNAcentral lists this ribosomal RNA (431 nucleotides) under uncultured bacterium. RNAcentral's name for it is "partial 16S ribosomal RNA". It matches the Rfam family "Bacterial small subunit ribosomal RNA", at positions 29 to 507 of the family's 1533-position model. The record is from RNAcentral.
AACGAACGCUGGCGGCAGGCUUAACACAUGCAAGUCGAACGCCCCGCCCGGGGAGUGGCAGACGGGUGAGUAACGCGUGGGCUCAUACCCUUUUCUACGGAAUAGCUCUGGGAAAGUGGAAUUAAUACCGUAUACGCCCUAAGGGGGGAAGAUUUAUCGGGGAAGGAUUGGCCCGCGUUGGAUUAGCUAGUUGGUGGGGUAAAGGCCUACCAAGGCGACGAUUCAUAGCUGUUCUGGGAGGAUGAUCAGCCACAUUGGGACUGAGACACGGCCCAAACUCCUACGGAAGGCAGCAGUGGGGAAUAUUGGACGAUGAGCGCAAGCCUGAUCCAGCCAUGCCGCGUGAGUGAUGAAGGCCUUAGGGUUGUAAAGCUCUUUCACCGAUGAAGAUAAUGACGGUAGUCGGAGAAGAAGCCCCGGCUAACUUCGUG